This 388-nucleotide RNase P RNA is filed under the name Clostridia bacterium. Its description in RNAcentral is "RNase P RNA component class A". It matches the Rfam family "Bacterial RNase P class A". From Rfam's summary of the family: Ribonuclease P (RNase P) is a ubiquitous endoribonuclease, found in archaea, bacteria and eukarya as well as chloroplasts and mitochondria. Its best characterised activity is the generation of mature 5'-ends of tRNAs by cleaving the 5'-leader elements of precursor-tRNAs. Cellular RNase Ps are ribonucleoproteins. The record is from RNAcentral. Lineage: Bacteria; Bacillati; Bacillota; Clostridia.
AGAGCAAAUUAAAUAGUCGCGUAUAGCAUGGUCGAAAGGCAGCGUACGAGGAAAGUCCGGGCUCCACAGAGCAAUGAUGCAGGAUAACGUCCUGUGAGGGAAACCUUAAGGAAAGUGCAACAGAAAAUAACCGCCACAUAUUUUUAGAUGCUUUUGGGGGUGACUCCAAAAGCAUCUUGUGUGGUAAGGAUGAAAAGGCGAGGUAAGAGCUCACCGCUAAUAUGGUGACAUAUUGGGUCAGUGUAAACCCCAUCUGGAGCAACACCGGGACUAGAAGGAUAAGACUGCUCGUCAUCUUCUUAAUCUGGUGGCUUGAGACAUAUAGUAAUAUAUGUACUAGAUAAAUGACUAUUCACGACAGAACCCGGCUUACAGAUUUGCUUUUAUA